GUCAGUGUGGCGCAAUGGUUUGAGUGUUGGACUACGACUCUGGAGACCAGGGUUUGAUUCGCAGUUUGGCCA
This 72-nucleotide transfer RNA is filed under the name Phrynosoma platyrhinos (Desert horned lizard). RNAcentral describes it as "tRNA-OTHER". The record is from RNAcentral. Lineage: Eukaryota; Metazoa; Chordata; Lepidosauria; Squamata; Phrynosomatidae.